This 492-nucleotide ribosomal RNA is filed under the name uncultured bacterium. RNAcentral describes it as "bacterial SSU rRNA". It matches the Rfam family "Bacterial small subunit ribosomal RNA", at positions 29 to 517 of the family's 1533-position model. The record is from RNAcentral.
AUUGAACGCUGGCGGCAUGCUUUACACAUGCAAGUCGAACGGUAACAGGCCUUCGGGUGCUGACGAGUGGCGAACGGGUGAGUAAUGCAUCGGAACGUGCCCAAUCGUGGGGGAUAACGUAGCGAAAGUUACGCUAAUACCGCAUAAGCCCUGAGGGGGAAAGCAGGGGAUCGCAAGACCUUGCGCGAAUGGAGCGGCCGAUGUCAGAUUAGCUAGUUGGUGGGGUAAAGGCCUACCAAGGCGACGAUCUGUAGCGGGUCUGAGAGGAUGAUCCGCCACACUGGGACUGAGACACGGCCCAGACUCCUACGGGAGGCAGCAGUGGGGAAUAUUGGACAAUGGGCGCAAGCCUGAUCCAGCAAUGCCGCGUGUGUGAAGAAGGCCUGCGGGUUGUAAAGCACUUUCAGUGGGGAAGAACAGGCCUGGGCUAAUACCCCAGGUGUCUGACGUUACCCACAGAAGAAGCACCGGCUAACUCCGUGCCAGCAGCCG